This 429-nucleotide ribosomal RNA is filed under the name Chloroflexota bacterium. RNAcentral describes it as "Chloroflexi bacterium partial 16S ribosomal RNA". It matches the Rfam family "Bacterial small subunit ribosomal RNA", at positions 355 to 776 of the family's 1533-position model. The record is from RNAcentral. Lineage: Bacteria; Bacillati; Chloroflexota.
UGGGGAAUAUUGCACAAUGGGCGCAAGCCUGAUGCAGCCAUGCCGCGUGUGUGAAGAAGGCCUUCGGGUUGUAAAGCACUUUCAGCGGGGAGGAAGGCGUUAAGGUUAAUAACCUUGGCGAUUGACGUUACCCGCAGAAGAAGCACCGGCUAACUCCGUGCCAGCAGCCGCGGUAAUACGGAGGGUGCAAGCGUUAAUCGGAAUUACUGGGCGUAAAGCGCACGCAGGCGGUCUGUCAAGUCGGAUGUGAAAUCCCCGGGCUCAACCUGGGAACUGCAUUCGAAACUGGCAGGCUAGAGUCUUGUAGAGGGGGGUAGAAUUCCAGGUGUAGCGGUGAAAUGCGUAGAGAUCUGGAGGAAUACCGGUGGCGAAGGCGGCCCCCUGGACGAAGACUGACGCUCAGGUGCGAAAGCGGGGGGAGCAAACAGG